UACGGAGGAUGCAAGCGUUAUCCGGAUUCAUUGGGUUUAAAGGGUGCGUAGGCGGCCUUUUAAGUCAGUGGUGAAAUCCUGCCGCUUAACGGUAGAAUUGCCAUUGAUACUGAAAGGCUUGAGUCCAGUUGAGGUAAGCGGAAUGUGUAGUGUAGCGGUGAAAUGCUUAGAUAUUACACAGAACACCAAUUGCGAAGGCAGCUUACUAAACUGGCACUGACGCUGAUGCACGAAAGCGUGGGGAGCGAACAGGAUUAGAUACCCUGGUAGUCCACGCCGUAAACGAUGUUCACUCGCUGUUUGCGAUACACAGCAAGCGGCCAAGCGAAAGCAUUAAGUGAACCACCUGGGGAGUACGAUCGCAAGGUUGAA
Molecule: ribosomal RNA, 372 nt
Filed under: uncultured bacterium
Lineage: Bacteria
Description: bacterial SSU rRNA
Rfam family: Bacterial small subunit ribosomal RNA
Source: RNAcentral